This 253-nucleotide ribosomal RNA is filed under the name uncultured bacterium. RNAcentral's name for it is "partial 16S ribosomal RNA". It matches the Rfam family "Bacterial small subunit ribosomal RNA", at positions 524 to 776 of the family's 1533-position model. The record is from RNAcentral.
UACGUAGGGGGCAAGCGUUGUCCGGAAUCAUUGGGCGUAAAGCGCGUGUAGGCGGCCCGAUAAGUCCGCUGUGAAAGUCCAGGGCUCAACCCUGGAAUGCCGGUGGAUACUGUCGGGCUAGAGUCCGGAAGGGGCGAGUGGAAUUCCUGGUGUAGCGGUGAAAUGCGCAGAUAUCAGGAGGAACACCAAUGGCGAAGGCAGCUCGCUGGGACGUGACUGACGCUGAGACGCGAAAGCGUGGGGAGCAAACAGG